This 545-nucleotide ribosomal RNA is filed under the name bacterium Ae2isolate5. RNAcentral's name for it is "bacterial SSU rRNA". It matches the Rfam family "Bacterial small subunit ribosomal RNA", at positions 33 to 565 of the family's 1533-position model. The record is from RNAcentral.
ACGCCUGGCGGCAGGCCUAACACAUGCAAGUCNNAGCGGUAACAGAAAGUAGCUUGCUACUUUGCUGACGAGCGGCGGACGGGUGAGUAAUGCCUGGGAAUAUGCCUUGAUGUGGGGGAUAACUAUUGGAAACGAUAGCUAAUACCGCAUAAUGUCUUCGGACCAAAGAGGGGGAUCUUCGGACCUCUCGCGUCAAGAUUAGCCCAGGUGAGAUUAGCUAGUUGGUGAGGUAAGAGCUCACCAAGGCGACGAUCUCUAGCUGGUCUGAGAGGAUGAUCAGCCACACUGGAACUGAGACACGGUCCAGACUCCUACGGGAGGCAGCAGUGGGGAAUAUUGCACAAUGGGCGAAAGCCUGAUGCAGCCAUGCCGCGUGUAUGAAGAAGGCCUUCGGGUUGUAAAGUACUUUCAGUCGUGAGGAAGGGUGUGUAGUUAAUAGCUGCAUAUCUUGACGUUAGCGACAGAAGAAGCACCGGCUAACUCCGUGCCAGCAGCCGCGGUAAUACGGAGGGUGCGAGCGUUAAUCGGAAUUACUGGGCGUAAAG